CCUUUUUUAAUACUUCAGAAACUUAUUAUGCUUUAAAAUUAUUGGUCUGGUUUAAAAAUUCACGCAUUAUUGUAAAACAGAGUAAAACAAAAUGUUUGGCUCUCACAGAAAUACAUUUUAAAAUAUGUGACUUUUUUGGCUCUCUCUACUGAAAACGUUUUCGACCCCUGGUUAAGACAAUUAAUUUUUAAUACUUUUUUUGUUCAAAUUCUAGUGACAUUCAAAGCCAGUGCUGUUCUUCUAGUUGUUCUUUCGGAGCUUUUUAAAGAACUGUUAUGACAUCAGUUUUUGAUAACAAUAAUCAUUGUGAAACAAUCAUAUUGAUAUAAAUUCAUUUUCUUAUAAACAGUCUCAAAGAUACAACUAUAAAAAUAAUGGUGAUAUAAUUUUAUUGUAAUGAUGAACUAUGAUGAAAAGUGUAGUAAGUUUUUUUUAUUUUUGUCAGGUUUACUGGUUUGUUAGUUUGCACCUUCUCUUUUACUGAUGUCCUCUGACCCAAGACAUGAAUCACCAUAGUCAGUUGAACUGAUGUAAUAGAAUGUAACAGAAUAGACCACAGACAGAUAUCUUGUCCCCACGGUAUGUUCUUUUCAAAUGGUGACGCAGCUGUGACGCUGGUAUAAAGACACAGAUAUUAUUACUCUUAGCUGCUCUCCUGUUGUGUCAUAAGCAGCAUCUCUUACGUAAAGAAGAUAUUCACAGGUUUCUGCAUUGUUUAAAAAAAUAAAACUUUUUUUCCUUUCUUACUUUAUGUAGAGUCAUAAUUCAGAGGAAUAACACAGAAGAAUUCCUUAACAGAUGCCAAGCUUGUGUGAAGUUAUCUGACCUAGCCUUUUUUUGUCUUGGGUUGUUCAGAGUUUUUUGAGGCACUUAUUCUCCCUUAGAUUUGUUUUAGCAGCAGUUUGUUUUUCUUUGUCCUUUAUAGUGGAGUUGACACGUCAACAGUCUCUGUGGGAACCUGUCCUGCUUCUAAACCUUGUUCUUGUGCUUAUUGUGAAGAGAUAGAGCUUCUGCAUUUGGACUGGUUUAUCUGAAGAAUAGUCAGAUUAGCUGUACGUUGCCCAAAGGCACUGAAUCACUGGUGUAUACGAAAGAUAGACUGUUGAGUUUGUUGAAACAAAGGCUGCAGAUUUUCAACUCUUACAUGAAACAGAAACAACCUGAAAGUCUUCCAAGUUCCUUGAAUGUUCUAGAAUGGUCAGGGGUGAUCUGAAAUCUGUUUUUACGGUCUAGAGCUUGCUCUGUGAGGAAUGGUCUGAAAUUGGUCACCAAGGAUGCCAGGAGUGCUCCAACUCAAUACAAGACUUUCUUUUUAUAGAAGAUAUAUAUAAAUAAAUAAAUAAAUAUUUUGGACAUUUAUUAAAUGUUGUUUUGUGUUUUAUCUAAUUAUAAGAUAAUUAAUCUGUUAUCGUUAGAAGAACUCCCAGAUCAUGCGAUUCUGGAUUAAGGUUAUCUGUAGAAAUAAAUUGAGAUUAAAGAAACCUAUGAAAUGCAAUGAAGUAUAAUGGCCGUAUAUGUUCAUGUGUAUAAAGCCACCGUGUCUCUGUGAUUGUGAUUUAUGUUAAAUGACAAAAAAUCCACCUAUAAAACCUUUGUAAAACCUUAGAGUAAACAGAAAGUUUGGUGUAUUUUUUGUGCCUGAGAAAAUUGAAACAUUAUCCAUGUCUUAACCUCAGGAUUAUUUUAAACCCUGUGCUAUUGUGUUCAACAUUGUGAGUGACAAGAGUCAUGUCAGAGCGUUUCUUUUGGGUGAAUGUAACAAUAGGCACAGUGUACCUUGAUAACCGUCUGUCGCAAUAGACCUGAAUGUUAAGGUAUGCGAUGUUGUAGAGCAGCAUACUGCAGUCUUGCUGUGUGAAUCUCCAGAAACAAAGCUAUGCAGUCACAUGUAAAAUAUCUUCUGUGGAAUUUGCAGUGUCAAGAACACCAGGUUUGUGAGUAAAAGGAAGAACUGUGCUGUACAGAACAAGAUGUUUUGAAAAUUAUGACAAAUGAAACCAAGAUGUAAUUCCCCUACAAAUAAUCAGCCAGGCUACACUUCCUUCAUCUCUGAAUCAUUGUCGUGCAAAACUCACUCCAACUUCACAUGACCUCACAAACUAUUGAGCUUCAGUCUGUAAUAUAAUCUGCCACGGCUUUUCAUCAUAUUUUUAAGGAGAAAACCAGGGUGGUUUGUUGGUAAACUUUUGUAGCUAAUGGUUACCUGUUUUGGGCUAACAUUUUUUUUUCUUUUCAGAAAUCACCCUUACCAUUAAGUUAAAUGAUUUGUAGUCUUUUGACAAAUAGUCCUCCUGUGAAACCUUUCUCAAACACUUAAAGCCGCUAAAACGAUCACAAAAAUCACAGUAUGGUCUGGAAGUCUGAUUCUUUAUAGGAAUCUGUGGCAGCGAACUAUUUAUAUACAAGUUGUUCUUCCUGAAAACUUUGUUCUGUUUGCCCAAGGCUGGGCAACAUAUGUAGAGUCACAAACAGAUCCGGCUCAUCCACUGUGUGCAGAUAACUUGACAUUUUUGUUGAGAUCCUAUUACCAACUCUCACCCUCCCAUUAAUGACUGUUGGCUUGUCUUGGCAACAGUACGACAUAAUUAGACCCACCGGACGGGUCCGACCAGCCACACGUGCUUGAAGGAAUUCAUGCAUUGACGCAAGUAAAUGCUGAACCCAGACAAAAAUAAUACACAUCUCGGGACUAUGUAUGAGUUGUUGGUUUAACAAGGUUCAACUGAAAAGAUUGAUGCAGAAAUCAUGCCCCGCUGAAGUGUGAAGUUUUUUGUUCUAUUUUAUUCUAAAGCUGCUUUGCAUGUUUGAAAGGAUUUGCAUUAAAAAAAAUAAAGCUGACAGUUUUUCCAACAAAUUUUGCAAAAGCGUCAGCAACACAGUGGAGUCUUGUGUUGGGACAAUUUACAUAACCUAUCCCAUGCAGUUGCCAUGCACCUCGCUCCAAACACAGUAUAGAAAGACUCAUUUGUUAUAGGUUUGUUGCUAAAAUCAGAAUUAGUCAAAUCUCUUCAUCUAAGUCAUUUCCAUGUUGUUCCCCUUCAACCAGAGCUUUUACAGUAAAGCUGACUCCGGACUACAUAGUAAACCAUUAGAAGAACCAAGAACACAUUUGCCAUUGAAAUUAGCAUUUGGCUGAUUAGACAUUGAGUAUGGUCAUCAUUGGGUAAAAGUCAUCAACAACCUUCUUGUUUUCUGCUGUGUGAAAAUGGCUGCAGGUACUAUUUAACUGCUGUCUGAUAUCAAAUGAUUAUAAAUAUAGAAUGGCAAAGACUGUAGGUUGUCCUAAUUAGCAUUUAGGCCAAGCCACAGACAGCUAAAAGAUCAACAAAUAAUCUAUGGGUUAUUGCUAGGGCAUCCUAAACAAAUAAGAAAAAUGAUUUUGGCUAAACCUUAGACACAAUGGAAGUUUUGACCUUUGUCCAUGAGCACCUACUGUACAAAUGGUAUGAAUUUUUGUUUCCAAUUGAUCUCUGGUGUGGAAAUUAAGUUUGACAUUAGGCCAAGGGCUUUUCACACCCUGUUCAAAAAAAAUUUAAGAUGACUUAUACCAGUCACACCUUCAACUGACUAGUCGAAGGUGUGACUUCUUCCCAAAUCUCCCUUUUCUCUUCUGGUAUUCAGCAGUCAGAAACACUUAAAACCAGUUGUUUAGAACUAAAGAAACAGAGUGUAAAGAGCAGGUAUAAAAGUAUGGUCCUGGCCCUACCAGGUUAUAUCUGAAAGGCUUUAGUGCCAUCACGCCACACAAAAAGAAAAUAAAUGGCAGUUAAAUGUGCUUGUUAAAUGUUUGCUUCUUCAUGCUUUGUUGCUUUGUAUUUAUAAUUGUAGUUUUUGUUUUGUUUGUUUUGUUAAUGAGACACAAACUUGCUGUGAAACCAGAUGAUUAUUUACUUUGUGGACGGCACUCGCACCAGGUCACAUCAGCAUGUGGAAGAGCAGAGCCUGCUUCCAGCCUGUUCCAUCUCUGGAACUGUUUAGAAAGCUAAAGAAAUGUUAAUUCAUUAAUCAAAUUAAUGUUAAAUUAAGUUAAUUAUUUAUUAAAGGAUAAUAUACAAUAGUAGCACAUAUUUAUUUUGAACUUAUGCUAAGACGUAAAGAUAUAUAUAAAAAUAAAUAUUAAUUUUAGAAUUAUAUUUUAGAUAGACAAACGUUUGGUUUCUAUUGCUAUCUACCCUAGAUAAAGCUUGAAGUUAGAAAAUGUUAGAGAUGAUCAAAAAAAAUGCCCCCAACCUCCUCAAAAUAUAAAUUAAAAUAAGAAAUCAUUUUAUUAUUAUUAUUAUUUACAAAUUUUGUCCCAGAAAUAUUUUGCCCCUGCUGCCUUCAAACCAACCACAAAGGAAUCUGAUGUUAGUGUAUAUUUAAUCUACUAGACAGAUUGUAAAUGUCCUAAGUAUUGUGCGUAGAAAAUUCAUUACUUGUCGUACAAGUUGAGAGAGUAAACAAAUAAUUUCAACACGUCCGCGUUGUCAAGGACCUACGUUUUGUUUGCUUUUGUACAAGGCAAAAAAACCUAACCCAACUUGACAGAGGAGAAAAUCAGUCUAUUUUUUUUCACAGUACCUGUGUGUAUAAGUGCUCAAAUAUGUACGCGUUAAAACCUCUAGCCUCUAGGUGUGUCUUUUCUGUGUUAACUUGACUUGACUUAUGUACUUUUUACUUUUUCUCAGUCGACCCGUGUCCCCAGAAGACCUGAGGAUCUCUGUGUUAUUCAUUGUCAUGAAUGGAAGACAAGAGCUUCAAAAGUCUUCCUCUAAUUAAAACUCGUGAUAUGCUUAUAUCACAGGUACUGCGUUUCUUUUGAAGGCGGUCCUAUGAGGUGCUAGAUUGCAGCCAGACCAGCUAGCAACACUGAGCCAUUUUAUCUUCAUUGGCUAAACCUUUCAAAGACUUUUUUUGUGUGUCUGAAAUUGAGUCACUGUUGUUUACGCUCGUGGGAAAACAUGAACUGUUGGUCUACUUUGCCUCCUUUAGUAAAUACGUAUGACUAAAGUAAAUCAGAACAUUUCAAAUGUUUUAUUCCCAAAAGACAGUUGUUGACGAACGCAGUAAUGCUUCGACAACCUGUGUGCACUAUAAUGUAAAACUGAUGAUUUUGUGGGAUAUGGAAAAGUAGGUAGUUGUUGGUAGGUGUUGGUUUUCUUGGUGAAAAAGUCUUUUCCACAUGUUUAGGUAUCAGUAGUUAUUUUUUUAAGAGGUUAUAACACAAAAGAUUUUUUGUAACGGAGCUAAUGUUACUCCUGACUUUGUCUUCUACUCUGUCCAUUGCAGUCACGUCUGCUUUGGAUCACAGUCACUAAAGUUCUUUCCUUAUAAACUAAUGAAGUUAUUAACAUCCAUUAUAAGCAUUUAUAUUGAUGUUGCCCAGAGGCAGUUAUCUCCUAAUUUGGUGACUUGAUCACAUGACCCAACAGAUAUUUAUAUUUAUGUUUUGAUGAAAUGAUAAACAACAUAAUAAUGAACCAGAUUAAAUAAUAAGCAGGUGCUGAAUAACAAACAAUAACAUGGGAUUGACAGAGAUGCCAACCAAUCAGGGCAGCUUUUGUGGUUGUUAAAAAAUAUUUAAUGAUGUUGAUAAUGUCAGUUUUAUUUUACAUGGCUUACAUAAUAUAUGUAGAUAAUAUAAUGACAGGUGCUUCUUCGACCCUUGGUUGGCUCAGUCCACCAGAGCAUCAGAUCUAGUCAAAGACGGGCUUCCUCUGACGUUACAUUAGACUACAACUGGACCCUGAAUUUGACAAAGCGUCGUCCAGGUUAAUUAAAGACCAAACUAGCCUUCACCUGGUUCUGGGGUCUGACCAGGGUAGGCCUCUCCCGGCCCUGAGUUGGAACUAUUUUUACCAUCUAAGAACUAGGACAUCUAAGCUGAAACUAUCAAAGUCUGAUCUUCUGAUCGUAUCUUAUGACUCACUUGUCCGAUCCAAGAGAACAGCAUAACGAGCAUUGUCCAUUGAUAAAAAAUAGAGUUUGUGUAAUGCACAGCUUUAACAUUUACUUUUAAUCUUUCUGUCUUUUAUGUUUUUAUGUCAGGUGACACCUGCCUCUGAUCUGGUGACAAAUUAACUUAACUGCAUGUAAUGAAGCCUUGAGGAUUUUGUCAGGAACGAGGUCGUCCUUCUGCAUUUCUGGCCAUCUCAAGUGACUCUGAAGAAGAAGAAGUGCUGCCAACUGUGUGCGCUCCCUGAAUCAAGAGGUGGAACAGGUUUGGCAGAAGUGAAGGCGGAUCCUGUUGGGAGUGAAGUUACUGACGAUCCCCUGGCCCUGCUCUGAUUACAGGCACAACAAAGUUCUACUUGCUCCACAAAGAGGAAACAAAGAGCAGAAACCAACCUGGAGCAGAGGAUGGUGUUGCUCACUGGACGCUUCAAUCAGACAUGUCCCGUGGCCUCCUGCAGCUGCUCCCUGAUGGCGUUCAGCUCCACCAAGGAGUCGUUCAGUUUAUUGGCCGCCGUCUUUAUCUCCCCCACGAUCUCCUUCUUGCAGCUCUUCUUCAGCUCCCUGGACUCUUUGAGGAAGUAGUUGUCCAUCCCGUUGAAGAGUCCCUGGACUAAAGUGACGGCGUCGUCCGCCACCUCCACUGCCUGCAUCACAGGUUUGUCCACCUGGCCGAUGAUCUGGACCGUUCUCCGGGUCUCCCAGUCCGAUGAGUAGUGCUGUGUGCCACAUCUGAGAUAGGGAUGACCACGGAGUUUGUACAAGCCCUUAUCAAUAAAGUGGAGGAUCUUCCCGAUGUCCAGCAGGUGGCCUUCAUAUUCCAGUAAAACUGCCUCGAUCUAAAGGAGGACCAAGACUUCAGUCAGUGGCUGUGACGAUUAUCAGAGAUGGCUGCAGAGGCUGACGUAAUCCCCCCGGCCGUGGCCACGCCCACACCCACAGCAGUGAUCAGCAGAGAGGUGCCAAAGGUAAUGGGGGCCAGAGCUAGGCCCACGAUGGCCGCCGC
Cynoglossus semilaevis (tongue sole) is the source of this 6937-nucleotide long non-coding RNA. RefSeq lists it as uncharacterized. Lineage: Eukaryota; Metazoa; Chordata; Actinopteri; Pleuronectiformes; Cynoglossidae. The record is from RefSeq and is a predicted model, not a curated record. The transcript has 5 exons.